Molecule: ribosomal RNA, 253 nt
Filed under: uncultured bacterium
Lineage: Bacteria
Description: partial 16S ribosomal RNA
Rfam family: Bacterial small subunit ribosomal RNA
Source: RNAcentral
GACAGAGGGUGCGAGCGUUGUUCGGAAUUAUUGGGCGUAAAGGGCGCGUAGGCGGCGACUAAAGUCAGAUGUGAAAGCUCUGGGCUCAACCCAGAAAGUGCAUCUGAUACUGAGUUGCUUGAGUGCUGGAGAGGGUGGUGGAAUUCCUGGUGUAGAGGUGAAAUUCGUAGAUAUCAGGAGGAACACCGGUGGCGAAGGCGACCACCUGGACAGACACUGACGCUGAGGCGCGAAAGCGUGGGGAGCAAACAGG